ACACCCCUGCGGUGUUCGUGAGGUGCACUAUCCUCCUGAGCCGUUACUUAUGAGCCCAGGAACCUUGCUCUGUCCGUGAAGUGUCAGCCCUUCGGGGUUUUGCCAGAAGCGGAUACUCAGGGAUCCACCUGAACAAAUGGGUUCAGAGGCCGUAAACCCACGGCACAGGCGGGGGUGUG
Molecule: non-coding RNA, 179 nt
Filed under: Magnetococcales bacterium
Lineage: Bacteria; Pseudomonadati; Pseudomonadota; Magnetococcia; Magnetococcales
Description: 6S RNA
Rfam family: 6S / SsrS RNA
About the family: E. coli 6S RNA was the first non coding RNA to be sequenced, but its function was unknown until recently. It consists of 184 nucleotides that fold into an extended hairpin structure with a large single-stranded internal bulge.
Source: RNAcentral